RNAcentral lists this long non-coding RNA (1716 nucleotides) under Citrus x clementina. RNAcentral describes it as "Citrus clementina (C. clementina) long non-coding RNA (CCLE_LNC003406)". The record is from RNAcentral. Lineage: Eukaryota; Viridiplantae; Streptophyta; Magnoliopsida; Sapindales; Rutaceae.
UAAUUUAAUGUUAAAAUUAUAUAUACAUUACAAUCUAAUCCAAUGUUGUAUUAUGCCGAACAUGAAAGGUCAUGAAAUAUAAUCUUAUCUUUAUCAAAUCUUAUUUUAAGUCAUAUAGCUCAAGUCAUAUUCAAUUAUAUCUCAUCUAAUCCUAUCCUAUCCAGCGCACCAAACAAGCAUAUAUAUGUGAUUAAGAACUAAAAAGACUAUAGCUAGAAGCAUUUCUGUUAGAGUUUCUCCUAAAACAUAGAUAUCCAGAGACAAGCUUUUAGAAUGUUAGAAAUAUAAUCACUCAGGGAUGUAAGUCGAGAUAGUUUACGGUACAUUAAGUCUGUAAUACUAACGCUAGCUAGAUUCGAGCCCCUCUCAAAUCCAAAAGCCAUAUAGCUUUCCGAACACAUUUACUGAAUGACCAACAUCAAUUUCUUCUGCAAGUGAUAAAGGACAAAUACAACAAUAUAUGAUAACUAAAAGAACAAAUUCCCUUUCAAGAAGUUCCCAGAUCGCAACUUCAAUGGACCAUUCCAUAAAAGAUUCAUUAUAGGAAACUGCUAUUGCGUUUUUAUGGAAUUAAAAUGAGGAGAAUAUUCAAAGGAACCCUUAAUUCUUUAAUUUCGGAGGAAUUUGGGGAUUAAAUUGCAUGUGUUAUAUAUGCUUCCGUUUUCGUUUCUAUUUCAACUAAAUUGCACAAGUCAAGUCACAUAGCAGCAGAUUUACGUGCAUCCAGUUUUGGAGUGGCAGAGAUAGACCAAUUGUACCGAGGCUAUUAUAUUUAAUGUACUAAUUAAUGUUAUGGAUAAUUAGUGAGCAGCCUAACAAAUAACUUGUAUCACAAUUUACAGCUUCAACUGACAAAAUAAUAAAAUUAAUGACUCUAUGUAUAGCUAAAAACUCUAAUUCAUAAUAAUAAUAAGGGAGUUCAAAUAAAACAGCGGCUAAUAAAAUAGUCGGUCACUACAAGUAAUAUGAAGAAACACCAAGCUUUAGAGUUUGUCAUUUAUUAAUGAUUUCUUCGUCAAAUUAAUCCAGUGAGCUUGUUCAGAGACCCAACUUGUUCAAUAGACGAGGAAAAUUGCUUGAAUUCGAAGAAUUUUGACAGAGAUAAGAAACCUACAAGGAGGGAGGAUUAAUAAUUAGAAAAAGAAUAGUGCAAACUUUUAUGUGUGUGUGUGUCUAUAUAUAUGUAUGUAUGUAUGUAUGUGUGUGUGUGUGUGUGUGUGUGUGUGUGUAUAAACAUGUAUACAUACGGGAGAUUUUGAAACAACCUUACAAUCGAGUGAACAGAAAUAAUUAUUCCCUUGCAGCCUAGCUGGACACCCACUGCAUUUGUUGGUGGUGGAUUCUCUAAAAUAUGUUCCUGGCCUUUGGUUUAUAUGUAGCACUUUUUCACCAUUAUGUUGAUAUGUCUGAAGAGAAAAUAUAUGGAGCACGUUUGUAAGAAAGUGGUCAGAUAUAAAUGUAGUUUCACAAGUCAUAUGCUCAUGCCCGGAUACCGAAUUUGAACCCAGAACAAAAUUGAGUGGCACAGCUCAAUUCGGAUUAAAAUUCGGAUGUUCGUGCGUGAGCAUUAUUAUGCAGUUCAGAGUAGUACUUCGUUGGCAAAUAGCAGAAUUUUUAAGAAAAUAUUCAAUGAAGAAGAAAUAGAAAAGAUUUGAAUUCAAGCUUUGACUUAUUACUUGGAUAUGUCCACAGUCAAUGAACUCGUGAGCCUCAACG